Molecule: non-coding RNA, 2304 nt
Organism: Phascolarctos cinereus (koala)
Lineage: Eukaryota; Metazoa; Chordata; Mammalia; Diprotodontia; Phascolarctidae
Source: RefSeq, a predicted model, not a curated record
GUGUCUGAGGUCGGAUUUGAACCAAAGUCUUCCUGACUCCAGGCCGGUUCUAGCUAGGUCCACCUAGUUGCCCUAGUAGAAGGAAAGUCAUCUGAAAGGAGAAAACACUAGCAUUUGAGGGUACAUGAGAACGUUCGCCCGAAGAAUGGGGGGCUUGGACCGAGUUUGGAAGGAUGCCAGGGAAAGGAGUCUGGAAAGACGCCCAGGGAAAAAGCAUUCCAGGCAUGGGGGGAGGGGGACAGGCAGUGCAAAAUUCUGGAGACGGGAGAUGGACUGACCUCAGUGAGUGAGGAGCAGAAUGUGUGGCGUCUUCCUGGAGCACAGAGUUUCUGGACGGAGCAAAAUAUAAGAAUGCUGGAAAGAUCCACGUUGUGAAGACCCCAAGAACACCUGGUAGAGAAGGAAAAAGAAAAGUACUAAGACAGAGCUUUGGAGGGACACCAUAGCCAUGAGAUGUGAUAUAAAUGGAGAGUCAAUAGAACCACCACACCUCCAGAGACAUCCGUCUCCUUGUGGAAGUUUGAGACCGUAUAACCUUCUCUCCUUGACCUAUACUAUGUGAAGCCAAUCAUUAUAGUCGCUGCUAAGAUGUACUCCACCAAGCCCACAUACGUGAGAAACCUUUCCAGCAGAUUGCCACGGAAGUAAGCACCUACAUAGGAAGAUUAGCUCCACCCCAGCCUCUGCCACCUUCAUGCCCAUCUCUGGCCGGCCACAGUGUGCAAGGGCAAUGCCGGUGGACAUCAUUUGAUAGAAGCCCUGGACCCUAUCGUUCCUCCAUCAAAUUAUCUCCAGUUGCCUCUGUAGGAUGCCUCCCAGAGCAGAGGUACUACCACUGUGCCAGUUGGCAGGGUGAAGACUGGUUUCUUGAAGACAGGCAUGAUAAUAACCUUCACUGCCAGAAAUGCUACCAUAGAGUCAGGUCUGGGUAGAUGAGCCAUGAGGCUUUUUCUGGAGGAAAAAUAACCUGGUCAUCAGGAUGUGCUGCUUGACCAAAUUACCACCCAUUCCACUGCAGACUAAAUAAUAAAAGCCGUAGACUGAGCAACAAAAUCUGACUCGACUAUCUCCAUCCCCCUUGGCUGAAUAUACAAAACCCUGCUGCACCAGACCCUUCCAAUACUGUACUCAACCCACAGCUAGAGAACUCCCUGCCUAACUUUUCUGUGGGGACAGUCUGUGCCCUAUGAGUCCAUUCAAAUGCUGCAGAACGCUGCUGGUCACAAGCGGUAUCCUGUCAGUUUGGCCACUCUCUCUGUUUGACCUUCAGCCAUGUGAUCUGACCAGUGGGUGAGAUGCUUCCUGGGCUCUCAAGGAGCUCGGGGUUCAGAAAUUCUUCAACACAGCAAACGUGGAUUUUAAGGUGAAGAUCUUGUCGGCAGAGUAAAGUAACUAGAGACAUUAGAAAUGAUGGAAAACCCCAGUAGAGGCCUGCAGUUCUGUGGUGCAGAUGAUCAUUUCACCCAGCCAGGCCAGGUCCAGGCUGUCUACUGUCCGGUGGUGCUGGUGUCCAGUCAGGGGUUCUUGGCCCUGGAGUGUUUGCCAUUUCCUCCCCCAUUGGAUUGGGGCAAGCACAGGUUAAGGGAUUUUCCCAGAGUUACACAGGUGGCGAAUGUCUGAGGCUGGAUUUGAAUUUGGCUCUUCCUGACUCCAGGCCCCAUGCUGUAUCAACCUAGCCACCUACCUGCCUCUUCUCGCCAUUGUUAGAUUACCGUAUGGCUCACCUCUUGUUCAGAUUUGCUGAGUGGUAAAAGAUUGACUCGAACCUUGGCAAGCUGGAGAACAAUCCCCAAGGCCACAAAGUCUGGGGAUGCUGGCAUUGUGCAGAUGCUUUUUGACUGACCCAUGAGUGUCAAAAGUUUCUCCCAGAACCCAAGUGAAGGUCAUUUCACAAUGAGGCAGAGAGUGGCUGUUGUGACCACAUCAGGGAAGAAAAAAAGUACCAGCUUCCAGCAAAGGCCAGCGUGAAGGGAACACCACCCUACUCGAUGAUUGUUUUGUGGGUCUGCCCAGAUUCUGCCAGACCCGCAUGUGUCUGGUGUUUUCUGUUCAUGAAUCUUGGACUUUAGUUCCCUCCUUGGGGUCAGAAAAACAGAAAACUUGGGCAGGUGGGAGGCGCAGUGGAGAGUGCUGGACCUGGGGUCAGGAAGACCUGAGUUCAAAUCCAGCCUUAGACACUAGCUGUGUGUCUGACUCCAGGGGAAAUCACUUGACUUUCCCAGGCACGGUUUAUUCAUCUUUAAAAUGUAUAUCAGUACAAUAAUAGCACCUCUCUCAUAAGGUUGUUAUGGGGCUCAAAUGAGG